UGGGGAAUUUUUCCGCAAUGGGGGCAACCCUGACGGAGCAAUACCGCGUGAGGGAGGACGGCUUUUGGGUUGUAAACCUCUUUUAUCAGGGAAGAAUUUUGACGGUACCUGAUGAAUCAGCAUCGGCUAACUCCGUGCCAGCAGCCGCGGUAAUACGGAGGAUGCAAGCGUUAUCCGGAAUCAUUGGGCGUAAAGCGUCCGCAGGUGGUUAUUCAAGUCUUUUGUCAAAGCGUGUGGCUCAACCACAUACGGGCGGAGGAAACUGAAUGACUUGAGUGCGAUAGGGGUUACGGGAAUUCCCGGUGUAGCGGUGAAAUGCGUAGAUAUCGGGAAGAACACCAGUGGCGAAAGCGCGUAACUGGGUCUGCACUGACACUGAGGGACGAAAGCUAGGGGAGCGAAAGGGAUUAGAUACCCCUGUAGUCAA
Molecule: ribosomal RNA, 427 nt
Filed under: uncultured Leptolyngbya sp.
Lineage: Bacteria; Bacillati; Cyanobacteriota; Cyanophyceae; Leptolyngbyales; Leptolyngbyaceae
Description: bacterial SSU rRNA
Rfam family: Bacterial small subunit ribosomal RNA
Source: RNAcentral